RNAcentral lists this ribosomal RNA (482 nucleotides) under Bacillus subtilis. Its description in RNAcentral is "bacterial SSU rRNA". It matches the Rfam family "Bacterial small subunit ribosomal RNA", at positions 48 to 513 of the family's 1533-position model. The record is from RNAcentral. Lineage: Bacteria; Bacillati; Bacillota; Bacilli; Caryophanales; Bacillaceae.
GCUAUACAUGCAGUCGAGCGGACAGAUGGGAGCUUGCUCCCUGAUGUUAGCGGCGGACGGGUGAGUAACACGUGGGUAACCUGCCUGUAAGACUGGGAUAACUCCGGGAAACCGGGGCUAAUACCGGAUGGUUGUCUGAACCGCAUGGUUCAGACAUAAAAGGUGGCUUCGGCUACCACUUACAGAUGGACCCGCGGCGCAUUAGCUAGUUGGUGAGGUAACGGCUCACCAAGGCGACGAUGCGUAGCCGACCUGAGAGGGUGAUCGGCCACACUGGGACUGAGACACGGCCCAGACUCCUACGGGAGGCAGCAGUAGGGAAUCUUCCGCAAUGGACGAAAGUCUGACGGAGCAACGCCGCGUGAGUGAUGAAGGUUUUCGGAUCGUAAAGCUCUGUUGUUAGGGAAGAACAAGUGCCGUUCAAAUAGGGCGGCACCUUGACGGUACCUAACCAGAAAGCCACGGCUAACUACGUGCCAGCA